RNAcentral lists this transfer RNA (72 nucleotides) under Heterocephalus glaber (naked mole-rat). It matches the Rfam family "tRNA". From Rfam's summary of the family: Transfer RNA (tRNA) molecules are approximately 80 nucleotides in length. Lineage: Eukaryota; Metazoa; Chordata; Mammalia; Rodentia; Bathyergidae. The record is from Rfam by way of RNAcentral.
GGGGGUAUAGCUCAAUGGUAGAGCACUUAUCUAAUAUGCACAAGACCCUGGGUUUAAUCCCCAGCACCACCA